CGCCUCUUGCAAAAAUCAAUGUAUAAGAGGUCUUACCUGCCCAGUGACAAUAAGUUUAACGGCCGCGGUAUUCUGACCGUGCUAAGGUAGCGCAAUCACUUGUCUUUUAAAUGAAGACCUGUAUGAAUGGUCGAACGAGGGCUUAGCUGUCUCCCUUUUUAGGUCAAUGAAAUUGAUCUGCCCGUGCAGAAGCGGACAUAAAAAUACAAGACGAGAAGACCCUUUGGAGCUUAAGACACAAGGUCAACUAUGUCAAAGAUUACUAUUAACGGAAACAAAACAAAAUACCAAUUGACCGAAGUCUUCGGUUGGGGCAACCGUGGGGGAAAAUGAAGCCCCCACAUGGAUUGGGCUAAGACUUAAAACCACGAGGAACACCUCUAAGUCACAGAAUAUCUGACCAAAAGAUCCGGCACUUAAGCCGAUUAACGAACCAAGUUACCCUAGGGAUAACAGCGCAAUCCCCUCCAAGAGUCCAUAUCGACAAGGGGGUUUACGACCUCGAUGUUGGAUCAGGACAUCCUAAUGGUGCAGCCGCUAUUAAGGGUUCGUUUGUUCAACGAUUAAAGUCCU
This 573-nucleotide ribosomal RNA is filed under the name Creagrutus ignotus. Its description in RNAcentral is "partial 16S ribosomal RNA". It matches the Rfam family "Bacterial large subunit ribosomal RNA", at positions 1816 to 2597 of the family's 2925-position model. Lineage: Eukaryota; Metazoa; Chordata; Actinopteri; Characiformes; Stevardiidae. The record is from RNAcentral.